This is a ribosomal RNA of 1358 nucleotides. It matches the Rfam family "Bacterial small subunit ribosomal RNA".
AUGCAGUCGAACGAUGAAGCCCAGCUUGCUGGGUGGAUUAGUGGCGAACGGGUGAGUAACACGUGAGUAACCUGCCCUUAACUCUGGGAUAAGCCUGGGAAACUGGGUCUAAUACCGGAUAGGAGCGCCUACCGCAUGGUGGGUGUUGGAAAGAUUUAUCGGUUUUGGAUGGACUCGCGGCCUAUCAGCUUGUUGGUGAGGUAAUGGCUCACCAAGGCGACGACGGGUAGCCGGCCUGAGAGGGUGACCGGCCACACUGGGACUGAGACACGGCCCAGACUCCUACGGGAGGCAGCAGUGGGGAAUAUUGCACAAUGGGCGCAAGCCUGAUGCAGCGACGCCGCGUGAGGGAUGACGGCCUUCGGGUUGUAAACCUCUUUCAGUAGGGAAGAAGCGAAAGUGACGGUACCUGCAGAAGAAGCACCGGCUAACUACGUGCCAGCAGCCGCGGUAAUACGUAGGGUGCGAGCGUUAUCCGGAAUUAUUGGGCGUAAAGAGCUCGUAGGCGGUUUGUCGCGUCUGUCGUGAAAGUCCGGGGCUUAACCCCGGAUCUGCGGUGGGUACGGGCAGACUAGAGUGCAGUAGGGGAGACUGGAAUUCCUGGUGUAGCGGUGGAAUGCGCAGAUAUCAGGAGGAACACCGAUGGCGAAGGCAGGUCUCUGGGCUGUAACUGACGCUGAGGAGCGAAAGCAUGGGGAGCGAACAGGAUUAGAUACCCUGGUAGUCCAUGCCGUAAACGUUGGGCACUAGGUGUGGGGACCAUUCCACGGUUUCCGCGCCGCAGCUAACGCAUUAAGUGCCCCGCCUGGGGAGUACGGCCGCGAGGCUAAAACUCAAAGGAAUUGACGGGGGCCCGCACAAGCGGCGGAGCAUGCGGAUUAAUUCGAUGCAACGCGAAGAACCUUACCAAGGCUUGACAUGUUCUCGAUCGCCGUAUAGAUACGGUUUCCCCUUUGGGGCGGGUUCACAGGUGGUGCAUGGUUGUCGUCACCUCGUGUCCUGACAUGUUGGGUUAAGUCCCGCACGAGCGCACCCUCGUUCAUGUUGCCGCACGUAAUGGUGGGGACUCAUGGAACUGCCGGGUCACUCGGAGGAGGUGAAGACGACUCAAUCAUAUGCCCCUUAGUCUUGGGCUUCCCAUGCUACAUGGCCGGUACAUGGGUGCCAUCUGUGAGGGGAGCUAUCCGAAAGCCGGUUCCAUUCCGAUGGGUUGCACUCCACCCUGGAAUCGGAUCCUUUGAUUCAAAACAAAACCCUGGGGUGAAACAAUUCCGGGCUUGUACACCGCGUUAAUCCGAAACCGGAACCCAACCGGGGCCUACUUUGGGGGGGGUUAAUGGCCGUCGGUCGUGGUUCUA